CUCGUAGGCGGUUUGGUAAGUCGGAUGUGAAAUCUCCAGGCUCAACUUGGAGGGGUCAUUCGAUACUGCCAUGACUAGAGUUCGGUAGGGGAGUGUGGAAUUCCUGGUGGAGCGGUGAAAUGCGCAGAUAUCAGGAGGAACACCCGUAGCGAAGGCGGCACUCUGGGCCGGAACUGACGCUGAGGAGCGAAAGCGUGGGGAGCGAACAGGAUUAGAUACCCUGGUAGUCCACGCCGUAAACGUUGGGCACUAGGUGUGGGGUUCUAUCGACGGAUUCCGUGCCGUAGCUAACGCAUUAAGUGCCCCGCCUGGGGAGUACGGCCGCAAGGCUAAA
RNAcentral lists this ribosomal RNA (334 nucleotides) under uncultured Actinomycetes bacterium. Its description in RNAcentral is "bacterial SSU rRNA". It matches the Rfam family "Bacterial small subunit ribosomal RNA", at positions 568 to 898 of the family's 1533-position model. The record is from RNAcentral. Lineage: Bacteria; Bacillati; Actinomycetota; Actinomycetes.